RNAcentral lists this ribosomal RNA (442 nucleotides) under uncultured bacterium. RNAcentral's name for it is "partial 16S ribosomal RNA". It matches the Rfam family "Bacterial small subunit ribosomal RNA", at positions 338 to 795 of the family's 1533-position model. The record is from RNAcentral.
CCUACGGGCGGCAGCAGUAGGGAAUCUUUCACAAUGGGCGAAAGCCUGAUGGAGCAACGCCGCGUGCAGGAUGAAGGCCUUCGGGUUGUAAACUGCUUUUAUAAGCGAGAAAUAUGAUGGUAACUUAUGAAUAAGGAUCGGCUAACUCCGUGCCAGCAGCCGCGGUCAUACGUAGGCUCCGAGCAUUAUCCGGAGUGACUGGGUGUAAAGAGUUGCGUAGGUGGCAUAAUAAGUAGCUAGUGAAAUCUGGUGGCGCAACCAUUCAGACUGUUAGCUAAACUGUUAAGCUCGAGACCGUUAGGGGUAACUGGAAUGGCUGGUGUAGGAGUGAAAUGCGUAGAUAUUAGAAGGAACACCAGUGGCGUAGGCAGGUUACUGGGACGGUUCUGACACUAAGGCACGAAAGCGUAGGGAGCAAACGGGAUUAGAUACCCUGGUAGUC